This 434-nucleotide ribosomal RNA is filed under the name uncultured bacterium. RNAcentral's name for it is "bacterial SSU rRNA". It matches the Rfam family "Bacterial small subunit ribosomal RNA", at positions 101 to 518 of the family's 1533-position model. The record is from RNAcentral.
AACGGGUGAGUAAUUAUUAUCGGAACGUACCCAAGAGUGGGUGGAUAACGUAGCGAUAAGUUACGCUAAUACCGCUAUACCUGUAUCCCAAGGAUGAAAGCAGGGGUACCGCAAGUGCCUUGUGCUCCUGGAGCGCCGAUAUCUGAUUAGCUAGUUGGUGAGGUAAAGGCUCACCAAGGCAACGAUCAGUAGCUGGUCUGAGAGGACGACCAGCCACACUGGAACUGAGACACGGUCCUAGACUCCUACGGGAGGCUAGCUAGUGGGGAAUUUUGGACAAUGGGCGCAAGCCUGAUCCAGCAAUGCCGCGUGAGUGAAGAAGGCCUUCGGGUUGUAAAGCUCUUUUGUCAGGGAAGAAACGGUAGGAGCUAAUAUCUUUUACUAAUGACGGUACCUGAAGAAUAAGCACCGGCUAACUACGUGCCAGCCGCCGC